Hippocampus comes (tiger tail seahorse) is the source of this 132-nucleotide long non-coding RNA. RefSeq lists it as uncharacterized. The record is from RefSeq and is a predicted model, not a curated record. The transcript is spliced from 4 exons. Lineage: Eukaryota; Metazoa; Chordata; Actinopteri; Syngnathiformes; Syngnathidae.
UAGUGCGCAGGAUGAAAAAGCAGAAGGUAGCGAUCAAUUACUUUUCUGGGAGGCUACUGCGUAACUGGCUAAGUUCGGCAUUGUUUGGGGGGGGGGGGGCGGCAUUUACAGGUGUUUAAGGAAGACAAAAGU